RNAcentral lists this transfer RNA (72 nucleotides) under Nitrososphaerota archaeon. RNAcentral describes it as "Thaumarchaeota archaeon tRNA-Asp". It matches the Rfam family "tRNA". From Rfam's summary of the family: Transfer RNA (tRNA) molecules are approximately 80 nucleotides in length. Their secondary structure includes four short double-helical elements and three loops (D, anti-codon, and T loops). Further hydrogen bonds mediate the characteristic L-shaped molecular structure. tRNAs have two regions of fundamental functional importance: the anti-codon, which is responsible for specific mRNA codon recognition, and the 3' end, to which the tRNAs corresponding amino acid is attached (by aminoacyl-tRNA synthetases). tRNAs cope with the degeneracy of the genetic code in two manners: having more than one tRNA (with a specific anti-codon) for a particular amino acid; and 'wobble' base-pairing, i.e. permitting non-standard base-pairing at the 3rd anti-codon position. The record is from RNAcentral. Lineage: Archaea; Thermoproteati; Nitrososphaerota.
GCCCUGGUAGUAUAGAGGUCAGUAUGUGGGACUGUCACUCCCUCGACCCGGGUUCGAAUCCCGGCCAGGGCG